AUUUGUGAUUUUUCUUGUGUUGUUCCAUUCUGUUUUCUCCUUCUGUGUCCUUUUCUUUUUGGUGUUCUUUUUCAAGCUGUGCAUCGUCCCAAAAAAUAGGG
Molecule: non-coding RNA, 101 nt
Filed under: uncultured Geminigera
Lineage: Eukaryota; Cryptophyceae; Pyrenomonadales; Geminigeraceae
Source: RNAcentral